UGCCCGUCAACACAUGGGAGUGGGUUGCUCCAGAAGUAGCUAGUCUAACCGCAAGGGGGACGGUUACCACGGAGUGAUUCAUGACUGGGGUGAAGUCGUAACAAGGUAGCCGUAGGGGAACCUGCGGCUGGAUCACCUCCUU
RNAcentral lists this ribosomal RNA (142 nucleotides) under Pseudomonas aeruginosa. RNAcentral describes it as "partial 16S ribosomal RNA". It matches the Rfam family "Bacterial small subunit ribosomal RNA", at positions 1391 to 1532 of the family's 1533-position model. The record is from RNAcentral. Lineage: Bacteria; Pseudomonadati; Pseudomonadota; Gammaproteobacteria; Pseudomonadales; Pseudomonadaceae.